GUGCUGGACUCAGCAGCACAUAUACCAAAAUUGGAACUGUAUAGAGAGAAUUAUCAUGGCCCCUGCACAAAGAUGGUAUGCAAAUUCUUGAAGCAUUUCAUAUUUUC
Small nuclear RNA from Diceros bicornis minor, 107 nucleotides. NCBI's taxonomy places the organism in Eukaryota, Metazoa, Chordata, Mammalia, Perissodactyla, Rhinocerotidae. The record is from RefSeq and is a predicted model, not a curated record.